UACGUAGGGUGCAGGCGUUAAUCGGAAUUACUGGGCGUAAAGCGUGCGCAGGCGGUCUGUUAAGACAGGUGUGAAAUCCCCGAGCUCAACUUGGGAAUUGCGCUUGUAACUGGCAGGCUAGAGUGUGGCAGAGGGGGGUGGAAUUCCAGGUGUAGCAGUGAAAUGCGUAGAUAUCUGGAGGAACACCGAUGGCGAAGGCAGCCCCCUGGGUUAACACUGACGCUCAGGCACGAAAGCGUGGGGAGCAAAC
This 250-nucleotide ribosomal RNA is filed under the name uncultured bacterium. RNAcentral describes it as "partial 16S ribosomal RNA". It matches the Rfam family "Bacterial small subunit ribosomal RNA", at positions 524 to 773 of the family's 1533-position model. The record is from RNAcentral.